GGCAACUUGGCCGAGCGGUCUAAGGCGCCAGACUCAAGCGGUCAGCUUGAUCCUCUUAGAGGAUUAGCAUUCUGGUCUCGAAAGAGGCGUGAGUUCGAAUCUCACAGUUGUCA
This 113-nucleotide transfer RNA is filed under the name Colletotrichum gloeosporioides Cg-14. It matches the Rfam family "tRNA". From Rfam's summary of the family: Transfer RNA (tRNA) molecules are approximately 80 nucleotides in length. Their secondary structure includes four short double-helical elements and three loops (D, anti-codon, and T loops). Further hydrogen bonds mediate the characteristic L-shaped molecular structure. tRNAs have two regions of fundamental functional importance: the anti-codon, which is responsible for specific mRNA codon recognition, and the 3' end, to which the tRNAs corresponding amino acid is attached (by aminoacyl-tRNA synthetases). tRNAs cope with the degeneracy of the genetic code in two manners: having more than one tRNA (with a specific anti-codon) for a particular amino acid; and 'wobble' base-pairing, i.e. permitting non-standard base-pairing at the 3rd anti-codon position. Lineage: Eukaryota; Fungi; Ascomycota; Sordariomycetes; Glomerellales; Glomerellaceae. The record is from Rfam by way of RNAcentral.